This 545-nucleotide ribosomal RNA is filed under the name Botryosphaeria dothidea. RNAcentral describes it as "eukaryotic LSU rRNA". The stretch from base 182 to 335 matches the Rfam family "5.8S ribosomal RNA". Lineage: Eukaryota; Fungi; Ascomycota; Dothideomycetes; Botryosphaeriales; Botryosphaeriaceae. The record is from RNAcentral.
GUUAUCGAGUGAUCGGGCUCGGCCCGAUCCUCCCACCCUUUGUGUACCUACCUCUGUUGCUUUGGCGGGCCGCGGUCCUCCGCGGCCGCCCCCCUCCCCGGGGGGGUGGCCAGCGCCCGCCAGAGGACCAUCAAACUCCAGUCAGUAAACGAUGCAGUCUGAAAAACAUUUAAUAAACUAAAACUUUCAACAACGGAUCUCUUGGUUCUGGCAUCGAUGAAGAACGCAGCGAAAUGCGAUAAGUAAUGUGAAUUGCAGAAUUCAGUGAAUCAUCGAAUCUUUGAACGCACAUUGCGCCCUUUGGUAUUCCGAAGGGCAUGCCUGUUCGAGCGUCAUUACAACCCUCAAGCUCUGCUUGGUAUUGGGCACCGUCCUUUGCGGGCGCGCCUCAAAGACCUCGGCGGUGGCGUCUUGCCUCAAGCGUAGUAGAACAUACAUCUCGCUUCGGAGCGCAGGGCGUCGCCCGCCGGACGAACCUUCUGAACUUUUCUCAAGGUUGACCUCGGAUCAGGUAGGGAUACCCGCUGAACUUAAGCAUAUCAAAA